UGCAGUCGAACGGGCUCUUCGGAGCUAGUGGCAGACGGGUGAGUAACGCGUGGGAACCUACCUAUAAGUACGGAACAACACAGAGAAAUUUGUGCUAAUACCGUAUGUGCUCUUUGGAGUAAAGAUUUAUCGCUUAUAGAUGGGCCCGCGUUAGAUUAGCUAGUUGGUGAGGUAAUGGCUCACCAAGGCGACGAUCUAUAGCUGGUCUGAGAGGAUGAUCAGCCACACUGGGACUGAGACACGGCCCAGACUCCUACGGGAGGCAGCAGUGAGGAAUAUUGGACAAUGGGGGCAACCCUGAUCCAGCCAUGCCGCGUGAGUGAUGACGGCCUUAGGGUUGUAAAGCUCUUUCGCUAGGGAAGAUAAUGACGGUACCUAGUAAAGAAGCCCCGGCUAACUUCGUGCCAGCAGCCGCGGUAAUACGAAGGGGGCUAGCGUUGUUCGGAAUCACUGGGCGUAAAGCGCGCGUAGGCGGACUUUUAAGUCAGGGGUGAAAUCCCGGGGCUCAACCUCGGAACUGCCUUUGAUACUGGAAGUCUUGAGUUCGAGAGAGGUGAGUGGAAUACCGAGUGUAGAGGUGAAAUUCGUAGAUAUUCGGUGGAACACCAGUGGCGAAGGCGGCUCACUG
This 628-nucleotide ribosomal RNA is filed under the name uncultured bacterium. RNAcentral describes it as "bacterial SSU rRNA". It matches the Rfam family "Bacterial small subunit ribosomal RNA", at positions 56 to 731 of the family's 1533-position model. The record is from RNAcentral.